GUCAAAAUCUCAUCACUGCACCCAAGAUCUACACUUGCCAACAACAUCUUGGACAAUGGUGGAUCCAGAGGAAAUUCAGCCAUUUUCCUUCCCAAUUUGGUCAGAAGGCCCUCUUCAUCCAGAGCUCCUAGACUGUAUAACUGUUCCAUGGCAGAUAUGAGGGCCUGUGGUGAAGGUGGAUCCAUAAAAUCAAAAGACAAGAGAUCAUUAAUUCCCAUUGCCUUCAUUGUGAGUGUAGUAAAUCCAAGAUUUAUUCUUUGAAUUUCUGGAAUUGUGGUUGGGGACAUCUCAUUACGGUAUGCACUUUCAGUGUACAGACGAUAACACUUUCCAGGCCCAGUACGCCCAGCUCUUCCAGCCCGCUGCUUGGCAGAUGCUUGUGAAAUUGGCGUUAUAACCAGAGAAUCAAGCCCCUGCUUUGGAUUAUAUACAUUCUGCUUUGCAAACCCAGGAUCAAUAACAUAAAAAAUCCCAUCAAUUGUCANNNNNNNNNNNAAUAUUGGUUGCCACAACAACCUUCCUCUUCCCUGGUGGGGCAGGUUCAAAAAUCCUGGACUGCA
This 560-nucleotide unclassified non-coding RNA is filed under the name Hevea brasiliensis (rubber tree). The record is from RNAcentral. Lineage: Eukaryota; Viridiplantae; Streptophyta; Magnoliopsida; Malpighiales; Euphorbiaceae.